AUUCUAGUCGUUUAACCGGUAAGACAGGGUACUUCUAAUACCCUAAUUAAGGUUCGAGUCCUUACUAGAAUG
This is a transfer RNA of Sugiyamaella lignohabitans, 72 nucleotides long. It matches the Rfam family "tRNA". Rfam says of the family: Transfer RNA (tRNA) molecules are approximately 80 nucleotides in length. Their secondary structure includes four short double-helical elements and three loops (D, anti-codon, and T loops). Lineage: Eukaryota; Fungi; Ascomycota; Dipodascomycetes; Dipodascales; Trichomonascaceae. The record is from Rfam.